AUAGCAUCCAACAUGAGGUUCCUACGCAGCUCCUCCUGCUGCUCACCCCUUGCUGCUGCUUUCUUCUUCUUCUUCUUGGUCGCGGUGAUCGGGAGCACCAGCAGCAAUUUGCAGCAGGCCACAAAAUACAAUGCCAUGUUCAGCUUCGGAGACUCGGUGGCCGAGACCGGCAACAUCUGCGUCGUCAGCAGCAGCAGCAGCAACUCGACGGAGCUCGAAGCGCUCACCUGCACGCACCCGCCCUACGGCACCACCAACUUCGGCAGGCCGUCUUGCCGGUGGAGCGACGGCCGUGUCGUCGUUGACUUCAUUGCACAAUCACUUGGGCUGCCACUACUUCCACCGUCAAAAUCCAAAGGCAAAGAUUUCCGUCGCGGCGCAAACAUGGCAAUCACUGGUGCUACUGCGAUGAACUUCUCCUUCUACCAAUCACUUGGGAUUGAAGACCCAGUGUGGAAUCACGGCUCGCUGUACAUGCAAAUCCAGUGGUUCACGGAGUUGAUUCCUUCCUUGUGUGGAACGAAACAAAACUGCAAAGAAUUCCUAGCGAAAUCGCUGUUUCUGUUCGGUGGAUUUGGAGGAAACGACUACAAUAUCCAGCUUCUGGAGCUUGGAUUGACCCCAGAGCAGACAAUGAAGAACACCCCGAUUAUUGUUAAUGCAACUGUCAACGGUAUCGAGAGAUUGAUUGCACUUGGUGCAGUUCACAUUGUUGUCCCGAGCAUCCUCCCAACAGGUUGUCUCCCACUCUUCCUGGCGUUGUUCGUCGCCGGUUCCUCCGGCGAGUCUGACUUUGAUCAGUACGGCUGCUUGAAAAGUUACAACCGUCUGACAGAGCACCACAACUCAAUGCUCCGAGAACAAGUGCAAAUCCUCCAAAGAAAGUACAAGUCGACAAGGGUCAUGUACGCAGAUUACUACUCCCAGGUGUACAAAAUGGUCCAGCAGCCUCAAAAGUUUGGAUUCAGCAAUCCUUUUGAGGCUUGCUGUGGCGCAGGAGGAGGGAAGUACAACUUCGACGUCGCCGCCAGGUGCGGCAUGCCGGGCGCGACCACGGCCUGCCGUGACCCGUCGGCUCGCCUGAGCUGGGAUGGCGUCCACCCGACGGAGGCGGUGAACAAGAUGAUCGCCGACGCCUGGCUCAACGGCCCAUACUGCAACCCUCCUAUUCUAAGCUGAAUAUAUAUAUAUAUAUAUAUAUACAUAUAUACUGUAUUCCGUCCACCGUAUUGCUUGCAAGAUCUUGUACCACGGCUGUCUGGGCAGAGCCUGUACCACGGCUGCCCGGUGCACGCCUUGAGGCACGCGUCGUCCCAUGUCAGGGAGGGGACGUUGUUGCAGGCGUCGCCGGCGAUGAGCGAGGUGGCGAGGGAGACCAGUAAGGUGAAGACUCAAGACGAAGGUCAUGGCUGCUCUCGUCAUGUUUCUCUGGGAUCGAUGCUAGUUCUUCAUGGGGUUUGGUGAUAGAUGGCGAAACAAUGUGUUGGGAGAAUAAAAAUACGACAGAUUCUCUAAAGGAUCAGAAAUGCGGAGGAUCAUGUGUAAGUAGAAAUGCCAACCAAAAAAGGCCCCCAGCAAAUACGAGACCAUGGUCAGAUCAUAAUCUGCCGUGACCAUGGCGACCACCGGCAAGCCG
Molecule: RNA transcript, 1636 nt
Organism: Panicum hallii
Lineage: Eukaryota; Viridiplantae; Streptophyta; Magnoliopsida; Poales; Poaceae
Gene name: GDSL esterase/lipase At5g45910-like
Exons: 6
Source: RefSeq, a predicted model, not a curated record